Molecule: ribosomal RNA, 646 nt
Filed under: Cicindela pimeriana
Lineage: Eukaryota; Metazoa; Arthropoda; Insecta; Coleoptera; Carabidae
Description: partial 16S ribosomal RNA
Rfam family: Bacterial large subunit ribosomal RNA (bases 1-509)
Source: RNAcentral
GCAAAGGUAGCAUAAUUAUUAGUUUUUUAAUUGAAAGCUUGUAUGAAGGGUUGGACGAGAUAAAAUCUGUCUUUAUUUAAAUUAAAGUAGAAUUUAACUUUUAAGUUAAAAGGCUUAAAUGUUAAUAAAAGACGAGAAGACCCUAUAGAUCUUUAUUUAAUUAAUAUUUUAAUAAUUUAGGAUGAAUUUAAUUUAAAAUUUUAAUUAAAUUUUAUUGGGGUAAUAUAAAGAUUAAAUAAAUUCUUUUUAUUUUUUACAUUGAUUUAUGAAUAUAUGAUCCAAUAUUAUUGAUUAUAAGAUUAAGUUACCUUAGGGAUAACAGCGUAAUUUUUUUGGAGAGCUCAUAUCGAUAAAAAAGUUUGCGACCUCGAUGUUGGAUUAAAAGUUAGCUUGGGUGUAGAAGCUCAAGAUUUUGGUCUGUUCGACCAUUAAAUUUUUACAUGAUCUGAGUUCAGACCGGCGUGAGCCAGGUCGGUUUCUAUCUUUAUUUAAUUAAAAUAUUUUAGUACGAAAGGACCAAACAUUUAAUAUAAUUAUAUUUAUUUUUUGAAUAAUAUUAUUACUUUGGCAGAUUAGUGCAAUGAAUUUAGAAUUCAUGAAUGUAAUUAUAUUACAAGUAAUACUUGUAUUUAGGGGAUUUAUUAUU